This 23-nucleotide microRNA is filed under the name Salmo salar (Atlantic salmon). RNAcentral's name for it is "ssa-miR-218-3p". Its record names the gene ssa-miR-218-3p. Lineage: Eukaryota; Metazoa; Chordata; Actinopteri; Salmoniformes; Salmonidae. The record is from miRBase by way of RNAcentral.
ACAUGGUUCCGUCAAGCACCAGG